This 367-nucleotide ribosomal RNA is filed under the name uncultured eukaryote. Its description in RNAcentral is "bacterial SSU rRNA". It matches the Rfam family "Bacterial small subunit ribosomal RNA", at positions 597 to 971 of the family's 1533-position model. The record is from RNAcentral.
AGAUACCAAGGCUUAACCUUGGGCAGGCAGUAGAGUACCUUUAGACUUGAGUGCGGUAGAGGUAGAGGGAAUCCCUAGCGUAACAGUGAAAUGUGUAGAUUUUAGGGAGAACACCAGCGGCGAAGGCSCUCUACUGGGCCGAGACUGACACUGAGAGACGAAAGCUAAGGGAGUGAAUAGGAUUAGAUACCCUAGUAUUCUUAGCUGUAAACGAUGGAAACUAANUGCUGCCGAAUGCAGUGCUGUAGCUAACNNGUUAAGUUUCCCGCCUGGGGAGUAUGCUCGCAAGAGUGAAACUCAGAGGAAUUGACGGGGNCCCGCACAAGCAGUGGAUUAUGUGGUUUAAUUCGAUGCAACKCAAGAACCU